This 764-nucleotide ribosomal RNA is filed under the name uncultured Mycobacterium sp. Its description in RNAcentral is "bacterial SSU rRNA". It matches the Rfam family "Bacterial small subunit ribosomal RNA", at positions 595 to 1349 of the family's 1533-position model. Lineage: Bacteria; Bacillati; Actinomycetota; Actinomycetes; Mycobacteriales; Mycobacteriaceae. The record is from RNAcentral.
UGAAAUCUCACGGCUUAACUGUGAGCGUGCGGGCGAUACGGGCAGACUUGAGUACUGCAGGGGAGACUGGAAUUCCUGGUGUAGCGGUGGAAUGCGCAGAUAUCAGGAGGAACACCGGUGGCGAAGGCGGGUCUCUGGGCAGUAACUGACGCUGAGGAGCGAAAGCGUGGGGAGCGAACAGGAUUAGAUACCCUGGUAGUCCACGCCGUAAACGGUGGGUACUAGGUGUGGGUUUCCUUCCUUGGGAUCCGUGCCGUAGCUAACGCAUUAAGUACCCCGCCUGGGGAGUACGGCCGCAAGGCUAAAACUCAAAGAAAUUGACGGGGGCCCGCACAAGCGGCGGAGCAUGUGGAUUAAUUUCGAUAGCAACUGCUGAAGUAACCUUUACCCUGGGUCUUGACAUGCACAGGACGCCGGCAGAGAUGUCGGUUCCCUUGUGGCCUGUGUGCAGGUGGUGCAUGGCUGUCGUCAGCUCGUGUCGUGAGAUGUUGGGUUAAGUCCCGCAACGAGCGCAACCCUUGUCUCAUGUUGCCAGCGGGUAAUGCCGGGGACUCGUGAGAGACUGCCGGGGUCAACUCGGAGGAAGGUGGGGAUGACGUCAAGUCAUCAUGCCCCUUAUGUCCAGGGCUUCACACAUGCUACAAUGGCCGGUACAAAGGGCUGCGAUGCCGCGAGGUUAAGCGAAUCCUUUUAAAGCCGGUCUCAGUUCGGAUCGGGGUCUGCAACUCGACCCCGUGAAGUCGGAGUCACUAGUAAUCGCAGAU